GCUUCUGUAGUGUAGUUCGGUCAAACAUGCUUAUUUUAAUAAGUUAUGGAUUACGCAUGCGAGGCUCUCACCCUCGCGACCCGGGUUCGAAUCCCGGCAGAAGCA
This 105-nucleotide transfer RNA is filed under the name Promethearchaeota archaeon. RNAcentral's name for it is "Candidatus Lokiarchaeota archaeon (microbial mat metagenome) tRNA-Glu". It matches the Rfam family "tRNA". From Rfam's summary of the family: Transfer RNA (tRNA) molecules are approximately 80 nucleotides in length. Their secondary structure includes four short double-helical elements and three loops (D, anti-codon, and T loops). Further hydrogen bonds mediate the characteristic L-shaped molecular structure. tRNAs have two regions of fundamental functional importance: the anti-codon, which is responsible for specific mRNA codon recognition, and the 3' end, to which the tRNAs corresponding amino acid is attached (by aminoacyl-tRNA synthetases). tRNAs cope with the degeneracy of the genetic code in two manners: having more than one tRNA (with a specific anti-codon) for a particular amino acid; and 'wobble' base-pairing, i.e. permitting non-standard base-pairing at the 3rd anti-codon position. The record is from RNAcentral. Lineage: Archaea; Promethearchaeati; Promethearchaeota.